AUUCUCUUCCCUUCAAAACUACACACACAAUCCUAGAGAGAAUAACAUUCAUCCCCUUUAUACCCUCUUUCACGGUAUCCCCACACAUACCACACAACACACUCAUCAGAAAAUCAAGAAGAAGAACAACAAAAUUCCUUUAGGGGAUGACGAAACAACCUGCGAAACAAGUCUGCGACUACCCACCACACUUGGCCACUUGUCAGUUUGAAACCAACCGUCGUACGUUAUAGAACAGAACCCGUUACAUGAGUGACUUUUGUUUUGGUAGAAUUUAUAUAAAAUGGGUAACAUAAAAAUACGCUUCGUCGAAUGAUGGUGAUGGGAAUAAAUCGAAUUAAGUUAUAAAAAAAUAAAAUAAAAUAGAAUUACGGUUCCCGAGACACACGGAUGAGUGAUUGUGUAUUUGUGUUGUUUUAUUUGCAACUUGGCCUUUAACCUGAAUUAUUCGGGAAGAUAAAAAAAAAAUCAAUUUUUAAAACAGUGAAAUACGAAAGAAAAAUAUACCAACAAGGAAAAGGCAGUUGCGAAUAUCCUUGGAGAUAAAAGUGUUGGUGAAAGAAAGGAAGAGUGUUCAAACGGUGGCCUUUAGCUUUUUUUUCUUCUGUUGCUUUUGGUGCGCCGUUAGGUUGCUUAAAGUUAAUUCAAGCGGGAAAAUUGGUGAAACAGUUUAAAGGAUACAAAAAAAAAUAGAUAUUAAAUUUUUUGUCAGUGAAGCAAACGGAUGUAUGAGAAACAGGAUAUCCCAUUGUAGCCAAUUACGAUGACCGCAACUGAAUGACCGUAACGUAGUUGAACCAUACACAACCAACGUAAAGCAAAGCAAAGAGGAAAAAAAAGAUAGAAAUUUAUACGACAUUAUAUACGACAACAAGGCUGCUCUCACCCGCAAGGCAAUAAGGACAUUCACUAAAGAGCCAAAUGCGAAAAUAAACCACAGCUAGAGAACAACUACAACAAGAACGAAAGAAAAAAAAGAAAGUUAAAUUACAUCAAAAAAUAAAAAAAAAAAACAUAAAACGAAACAGGAUUUGAAAGAAGGGUAUCCUAAUGAUAUAUAGUAGGCUAGGGAUUAACAAGAGCUUACACAAGACCAACAGCACCACAGCAACGCAUUACGACAACGACGACGACUACAACAACUACUAUCAACUACAUCACUGCCGAGGCCGACCAUCAUCAACACCGGCAACAAAAAGAAGAAGAAAAACGCUUUCUAAAAAAUAAAUAACCUUCCUACCUAACAUCAUACUCCUUCAGCACUAAAAGCAAAGGACUAGAAUCAAAAAAAAAGAAAAGAAAAACGGAAGCGAUAAUCAAGAUUCAGGAUAUAUUUGAGGAGAAAAAAGAAAGAAAGAGAAAGAGUAAAAAUCCCGAAUCCGAUUAGGAAAGUACAAUUUUUCUUCGUUUUUCUUCGAUUUACCUCUCUUCUCAUCUGCUUCUUCUUCCUUUUCUUCGUCAAUCGGGGUAAAAUAUUUUUCUAUUGGUUUUAUCCUUCCUGCACAGUUUAACGUUUGUUUGUGGUCUUCUCAAUUUUCCAUAAGGAUAUACACAGGCGAGCUUUAGUAGUUCCACUUUUAUUUUUACUUCUUUAUUGUCAAUAGCCAUUCUCAACCCACUCGUCCUUUGGAAAUACGUAUAUACAAACAUAUUUCUCAUCUAAAAGAAGAACGACUACGACUAAAAACUGAAGGACUCUAGCUAUACCACAUCAGAAGAAGGAACGCAAUUUAAAGAGAAAUAAGGAUAUCGGUUGUUUAAGAUCGUGACUAUUAAUAUUUAUGAGGUGCGCAGCAAAGCAAUCUCUCUCAAUAAUAUCAGGUUAUUCUAGUGCAACAUACUCUUCUCCUACUUCUCCUCCCACUCUCACCACCCCAACAAGGACCCUUAUACUCUUCUACCAUUGCUGUUAAAAAAAAAUACUAUAACAAAAAAAUAUCCUUCCCUACACCAACAAACAAAAAUUGAAAAACGAAAAAGAAAAAUUAACUCCAUGCAGUGGAAUAAAUUCACAAGGAUCCCCUACCACAGCAACAGCAACAGAAGUAGCAGCAGCCAUAGUUGUGUACCAUCAACAUCACUAGCAGCAGCAGCAGUAUCCUUUUCUGUCCUUUUUCCAUGAUAGUGUGUUGAAGUGCCAUUUGCCAUAUAGAAAAAAGUGUAAUUAAAAAAUAUAAGAGAAAAUAAAAAUAAAAUAAAAAGAGUGCAAUACAGUGCGGUGUUAGUAAUGCAAAGCAUUAGUAGCAGGUAAUAUCAUUUUAGAGAAAUAAAUUUCAAAGAUAAAUAUAAAAAAGUUAAAAAAUAGAAAAAAAAAUAAAAUAAAUCCUGUGUUGGUUGAUGGUUGAAAAGAAAUAAAUAAAAGUAUCUAGAGUGCAAUAUUAUCUAGCGAACAACCAAAACCAACAACAGCAAAAUAACGUCGGCCGCGACGCGCUACAACGACGAAGACGAGGACGACGCGACUACGGUAAAGUGUUAAUGUGUUUAAGUAACAUAUGGAAGAGUUUACAGAAUUCACACGGUGAAUUAUAGCACUUAAGGUUGCACUACGCAUUAUUCCACGCGUUAUAACACACCACAUACACUUUUACACACACAACACAUACAUCAUACAUAUAUUUAUACAUCUAUACAUCACCUUAUAACCACCACCCCCUCAAAAACGAAGAUCCAAUAUAGUAUAAGCCAAAAACAAACCCCAAACCAUCAGCCAUCAUCAUUCACCGCUCCACGGUGCAUUUUCAAAGGGAUACACGAGGAUAUCAGCUACUACACGAAGAAGUGUGGCAGUGACAGCAGGCGGUGGAAAACAUUUUAAACAUCACAAAAUGUUGUUACAAGGAUUUUUAAUCGGAUUUACUUUGUUAAUUCAUGGAUUUGGUGGAGGAGCACAUGCUGAGGGUGAACAAAUCAUUUCGGAGCAUUUGGGUAAAACAGCUGAAUUGCCAUGUCCUGUGAACACGGAAAGUUGCGGUGCACUGCAUUCGAUCAACUGGUUCAAAGGUGAUACACGAAUCGCAGCUGUGCUGCUGGAUGAUAGCAAUAUAACUAGUGUCUCAGAAGGCUAUAAAGAUAGGUAAGUUGGUUUGAC
Molecule: long non-coding RNA, 3091 nt
Organism: Eupeodes corollae
Lineage: Eukaryota; Metazoa; Arthropoda; Insecta; Diptera; Syrphidae
Exons: 3
Source: RefSeq, a predicted model, not a curated record